Molecule: transfer RNA, 76 nt
Filed under: Staphylococcus epidermidis
Lineage: Bacteria; Bacillati; Bacillota; Bacilli; Caryophanales; Staphylococcaceae
Description: tRNA-Thr
Rfam family: tRNA
About the family: Transfer RNA (tRNA) molecules are approximately 80 nucleotides in length. Their secondary structure includes four short double-helical elements and three loops (D, anti-codon, and T loops).
Source: RNAcentral
GCCGGCCUGGCUCAACUGGUAGAGCAACUGACUUGUAAUCAGUAGGUUGGGGGUUCAAGUCCUCUGGCCGGCACCA